This 397-nucleotide ribosomal RNA is filed under the name uncultured bacterium. Its description in RNAcentral is "partial 16S ribosomal RNA". It matches the Rfam family "Bacterial small subunit ribosomal RNA", at positions 523 to 918 of the family's 1533-position model. The record is from RNAcentral.
AUACGUAGGGGGCGAGCGUUGUCCGGAAUGAUUGGGCGUAAAGGGCGCGUAGGCGGCCCGGUAAGUCUGGAGUGAAAGUCCUGUUUUUAAGAUGGGAAUUGCUUUGGAUACUGUCGGGCUUGAGUGCAGGAGAGGUAAGUGGAAUUCCCAGUGUAGCGGUGAAAUGCGUAGAGAUUGGGAGGAACACCAGUGGCGAAGGCGACUUACUGGACUGUAACUGACGCUGAGGCGCGAAAGUGUGGGGAGCAAACAGGAUUAGAUACCCUGGUAGUCCACACUGUAAACGAUGAAUGCUAGGUGUAAGAGGUAUCGACCCCUUUUGUGCCGGAGUCAACACAAUAAGCAUUCCGCCUGGGGAGUACGGCCGCAAGGUUGAAACUCAAAUGAAUUGACGGGG